CUCCCUCUUUUCCUUCCCUCCCUUUCCCCUCUCCCUCCUCCCUUUCCUUCCUCCCUCUCCUCUCUUCCUCCCCCAUUUUUCUUCCCCUUCCCGCCGGCCACUCCUUUUCCGCCGCCUGCGUGCCGCCGCUGGCUCAUUCUUCCCCUCCCGCCGCUGCACGCCGCCUCUAUCUCCUCCAUCCUUCCGCGCGGCGUCGACAAGUAAAAGAAGGGUUGCCGUCGCCGAUUCAGCCCCCUGCAGCCGUCCUUUCCGCAAACCGACGCCGGAAUCGGACUCCCCACCCCCGAAAACCCUGGAAACGACCCUCCUCCGCCGGAAAAGCCUCGCCGGCAGCCUCGGGAAGCGUCGCCAGAGCAGCGUCUUUCCGGCCUCGAUCCGCCGCCUUCCGGACACUUUCCGGCCGAAAAUUUUGUACUUCCGGACUUUCCGCAACUCGAGCUUCGUGUAGGCGCUUCCGGAUUCGAAUUUCGACACCAUUGGUAGGACCGGCUUCCGGACCCCGUGUUUUCCGGACGCACAAAAUAUUUCAAUUUCGGCUCGAUAUAAUUUUAUUUACACUCUGAAAAUUAUGUUGUAAUAUUAGAAAAUUAUUGUGGCUAUAAAUUGCUCGUGAUGAUUAUUUUAAAAAUAAAUCGAGUUUAAUUACUUGUGUUGUGGUGUUGCAGAGUCGGAAAAAAUAUUAGUACAGUUCUUGUGGCCCGGCUUCUGUUAUUUAAUUCCAGCAUAUUUGAUGUGUCUUUGGCAGAUCUUGAACCCGUUUUACGGAGGGUAAAUAUCCGUAAUUUAUGAGAGAUUCUACUGAAUUUUCGGCGGAUUUCUCGAGUCUAAUUUAAUUUUAGGCAGUCUACUCUAGGGUCUAAGUUUAGAAAAAUUUUUACGAAUAUCUAUUAAUUGUAUAUUUUUCGUUACUAGAUAAUUCAGCCUCCCCGCCAGCUCCACCCGAGGCAUAGGAGCGGAUAGCGGAACGCGUCAGAUCUGUGAGUUAAAGUCACUUAAUUGUUGCACUAUUGCUAAAUCUGAAUUUAAUAUGCUAUUUUAGAAAUUUAUGCUUAAUAUGAUUAUUAGCAUCGUAAUAUAAAUAAUUUUACUUGAUUAUUAAUUAUUGAAAAUAAUAUAAAUAUUAUUAUUAGUAAUAUUAUAAUAAUACAAAUACCAUUCUUGUAAUGUGCCAGUGAACCUUGAUGUGAAUUCUGUUAAGACAGCUUGGAGACUAGCUUGGGGGUUUAUCAUUUGGUAUCAGAGCCAGUAACCCACAGGUCCCAGGUUGUGAAACAUGGAAACCAGUAUUAGCCCUAUUUCUAUUAUUCAAACUUCUUCUCUUACUCUACCUACUUCUUGUAAAAAAAAUAUUACAGACAAGAUAGAUAACCUGGUAGAAAUAUCUCAUAUACCUUAUACAGCCCAGAGCCAGAACUCCCUUGUGCCUAUACUUAAUCCCUACUCUGUUUUCCGCCGUAAUCAGUCUUUUUCCAGAUCUCUAAGACAUUAUCUCUAGACCCUCUGUUGCAGUGAAAGAAUAUGUACAGUCAUCUGCUCUUUCUCAGUGUGUUCUUUCUUCAGUAACAACAGAGAUCCCUCCACACUUUAUUCAGCAGUGGAGACAACAGAAGUAUACCCAUCUCCACUUCGGAGCCAUCAGACUUGUUCUCUCCUAUCACGGGAGACAAGGACUUCCAGUUACAGCAAGACUCUCCUUGUUAGAUACCCGGUAUCUAAAUUAUGAACAUGCUGUAAUCGGCUCUAUUGCUACAACUUUGAAUGCAGGGAGAGUAGUGCUAACGUUUUUCUCUAAUUUCAAUAUGUUGUUGGAAGAUUCACAUCUUAGUCAGGCCUUGAAGGUUCAAGUCCAAAUUACAGGCGCUGACCAGGUCGCCGAUACCAUUUCGGCUACCUUUCAUCACCAGAUGGUUUACAGGCUUCAAGACCAUGCAAUAAAUCUGCAGACUCCUGGUCUCUCUAGCGGAGACGCAGUGUUUAUCUUUGCUGACAGUGGUCUUACUCCCACCAUAGUUCAGACUCCUAGGCAGUUGCCUAGAGAGGAGCUGGAGAAGUUUAUCCCCUCUGUAUGGAUCACAAAUUAUGAGAAGCUUCAUCAAAGCUCACAGCCUGUCCAGAAACAAGAUCCAAUAUUCAUCAAACAGCUUGACAAGUCUGUCAAGGUUUCAUAUCUAUCAUCCACAGUAUCAUCAUCUUCAAAUCCUCAUACUAUCUCUAUGAUUCAACCAGUACAGAGAUCCUAUGAGAAGAAGAUUCCCAUUCACAGCUUCAGAUCAAACGGAUGGGAAGUCUAUAAGGGCAAGAUUAAUGGUCACUUUAUUUGGGAUGUUAAUCCCUCCAUAUGCGAUGUUGGAUGUAAUUGCCAAGAUGAUCUGGAUGAUUUAGAAAUCGGAUCAAAGGGGACUAAGACUUGAAAAAGAAAGCAUACAUGUACUAGUCCACCUCGAUAUGAUGACAAAGACGAUGAUCAACCUGAUUCUAUUCAGGUUCCUGUACAAACCAGGAAAGGAAGACCCUGGAUUGGUCUUCCACCAGAAAAGAACAAACCAAUGUCCAAUGAUGAUUAUCUGAAGAGAUGCUUUGAAAUAUUAAAGGAAGAAGGACCUUUGACUUGUCCUCCUCCUCCAGUAGUUUGUUCUUGUUCUUUUGAACCAGUAAAGAUCCCAGAGCCAGUCGCAGUGCCAUGUUUUAUGGUUAACUCAGAGGAAUUUCCUCCUCUGGUGAGGAAAGAAAAUGAACAUACCAAAGCGCCUGCCCGUCCUUUCAUUGUGAAGGAUACAGUCCAACCUGCAGGCAGUUUGGCCCCUCUCUCAGCUGCAGAAGAAGUUUUGAACUGGCAGACAAACAAUGCUGUUGCCCAGAAUUACUACCUAGAAAAGAUUGGCAAUAGACUCUCAGAAGUCUAUGAAAAAACCAGUUCCAUAAAAGCUCAUGUCACUUCAUUCAGAGAAGAAGCUUUACGGUUGCACACGAAGCUUUCGUCCGGACUAUUUAAGCUCGAACAAGAGAUGGAACAGAUUCUGGCAACUCAGCCUACAUCACCUUUGUUCUGGCAAAAGGACAAAGAGAUCUUAAGGCUGAAAGAGCAACUUUGGGAAAUAGAAAGAGAUCUUUACCCUUCUAAGCAAUCUACCUCUUCUCCACUAAAUUUUUCCAUUGCUACACCUCAUCCUUUCAUGUCUACGGUUAUGCCUGUUAAACAAUAUGCUACAGUCUCAGACUUGGUGCCUCGAGCAUCUAAACCGGCAUCCAAACCCGCAAAAAGGACAUCCUCUACUCCCUCAUCCUUUCCAUCCAAGCCUUCAAAGGAUAAAGGACUUGCUAAGCCACAGAUGGCUAUAUAGCAAAACCCUCCUGUCUUUACGGAGUCGACUCCCUCUUCAACUGAGUCGUAUAUUUCAGAUUCAGACCUGUCUCAAUUUGAACUACAACGCUUCAGUUCUUCCUCUUCUGAUCGAGGGACUGAUAUCUCUGUAUCAACAGUUGAAUUUAGAACACAAGGUCCUUAUGUGUUGAUGAACACACAGCAAAAGCCCGAAAUUACUGAAGAAACUGAAGAAUUAGAAUCUCUUGCUCUAGAACAUUCUCUCCCGCCAAAACCAGGUUCUGGUCCCUGGUUCUCUUUGGAUACUGUGCCUCCAUCACAAUGGCGUAACAAGAUCUUGGAAUUCAAUGCUUGGCGUGAUCUCCAAAUGAUAAACCCCCAAGCUAGUCUCCAAGCUGUCUUAACAGAAUUCACAUCAAGGUUCACUGGCACAUUACGGGAAUGGUUUUCUCACCUGUCUGAAUAUCAACAGCUUCAAUUUGUUCAACUUGGUUCUGUCACUCAAGCUCUAGCACAGAUCCAUCAGCAGUUUCUAGGAGACUACAAUUUGAUUUUCAGACAAAGGAAACAAAAAUACUUUGACAGAAAGUGUUGUUCCAUGAAAAGAAAAGAUCUUGAAGACCAUUAUGUUCAUAUGUCUCAACUUUACUAUGAACUUGUUGGUCCAAACAUUGAUGAUCUAAAGUACACCUUCGUCAGUUCUCUACCGGAAGAAAUGCACCCUGAGAUUCAGAGAAUGAUGACAGACACACAUCGAGACAUCACUCAAAUCUCUCUUGGAGAGAUCUGGCAAUUUACAAUGGCUACUCUGGAUAAAAUGUGUGAGCAGCAAAAGCUAUUCAAGAAGAUUGCAAAAGGAGAAGCACUGUUGAAAAAUCUCUGCAAUCGGGAUUAUUUGCAAAUCAAAUGCAAGGAUAAGCAUUGUACGUGCAAGACAAAGAAGAAGAAGCAUUUUUCUUAUUCAUAGAAAUCUCCCCAGUAUAAACAGAAUAAAGGAAGGAAAUUACGCUGGUUCAGAAAGAAGGUAACAAGCAAGCAUAAAUCUGAUCGAUGUUACAUCUGUGGUCAAUCAGGACACUAUGCAAAGAGAUGUCCCAAUAAGCCUAAGAAAACUGUUGCACUUCUUCAUCAACUAAAGACUUCAUAUCCAGAUGACUUAUCCGAUCAUGAUCUUGAAUCUCUCUUUUCAGAAGAAGAAAUGACGUCUUCUCAGACUCUAUUUGCUAUUCCAUAUUCAGAUACCAGCGCAGACGGUGAAAGUUCUUCGGACGAAGAAACAUCUAUUUUUACUAUUGUCCUGCACUCCAAGUAAAACAGGAACCACCUGAUUAUACUCUUGCAGAUAUAGCUUACUGUUUUCUUGAGAUACCUUCUCCAAGAAAGAUACUCACACCAGUCCAAAGCAGAUCUUCUUCUAUACCAUUACCCAUUCCUACUUCUCCAGAAAGUAUGAAAAGUUCAUCCCCACCAGAAGUCACGUCAGCACAACCCAUUCAUCCUACACCUUUGGUAUCCAUCCAUGUCUUAGCUGGCAAAUAUGGGAGACCUAUUUCUAUUACUGCCUUAAUAGAUAUUGGAUCUCACUGUACAAUGAUGAAUCCUGAUGCUUUACCUAACUCAGCCUGGAAGAAAAAGAUUUGUCACUUCCUAGCAGCUGAUGGCAAGAGUUUUCAAACUACAAUGAUCUCCAAGGAUAAGAUUGGAAUACAGUUCUUCCCUGACUGUAUUGUAUGGAUUCACGUUAUUGGUUCUUAUCUAUUUGGAAGAGAUCUUCUAGUUGGGUUUGAUACUUAUCAUGCGGCAAAAAGGUUACAAAUCCUGCCAACGGGGCUAAAGUAUAAACAGGAAUUUCUCCCUUAUACUCAGAAUCCCAACCAGUUCUCUAUUUCAGAAGUCCCACUGGACUUUGCUCACUUGAAAGAGUUGUUCGCUCCAUGCUGUGCUGAUUCUCAUAGAAAAUUCUAUCACCCUUCUCCACUAUACAAGAAUCCAGACUUCUUCAUCACUCUCCCUUUCAAAUUAAAUGAAGAUGUCAACCCUACUAAGGCCAGCCAUCCUGGAAUGUCCCCAUCUGACUUGGUUUUAGCAAGACAAGAAUGCCAAGAGCUCCUCCAGCAAGGUUUGAUUGAACCUACACAGUCUCCUUGGGCAUGUCAGGCGUUCUAUGUGGAAAAGAGAUCAGAGAAAUUAAGAGGAAAGAAAAGGCUCAUCAUUAACUACAAGCCUCUUAAUCAUUUUCUUUCAGAUGAAAAAUUCCCAAUUCCUAAAAUCUCUUCUCUCUUUAUCCGUCUCCAAGGAGCAACCUAUUUCUCUAAGUUUGAUUUAAAGUCAGGAUUUUGGCAGUUAGGCAUUCAUCCUGAAGAAAGAUACAAGACCGCCUUUUGCAUCCCAGAUGCUCAGUAUCAGUGGACUGUUAUGCCCUUUGGGCUUAAAACAGCUCCUUCCAUCUUUCAGAAGGCAAUGGUCAGAAUUUUUGAGCCAAUCCUACACACCUGUAUCAUCUACAUAGAUGAUAUCCUCCUUUUCUCUAAGUCAGGAAAAGAGCAUGAUGAUCUUCUCAAAAGAUUCCACAGUUUAGUCCAUUCCUAUGGGAUAAUGCUUUAUGAAAGGAAAUCUUACAUUGGACAAACUGAAGUUGACUUUCUCGGGCUUAAACUAAAGAAUGGGCAGUAUGAAGCAGGCUCACACUUAGCCCAAGAAUUGCGGCAUUUCCCCAAUGAAAAUUUAUCCAAGAAGCAGAUUCAACAGUUUCUAGGGAUCAUUAAUUACAUUCGAGAUUUCAUCCCAAAGGCCGCAACCCAUACAAAACCCCUGACUGCAAGGCUAAAGAAAAAUGCGGGCCCAUGGACUCAAGCCCAUACUGAAGCUGUUAAGAUGUUAAAACAGCUGGCCCAAAAGACUCCAGCCCUCACUAUUCCUGCUGAUGACGCACAGCUGAUCCUUCAGACUGAUGCAAGUGACUAUGCUUGGGGCGCUAUUCUUCUCCAGAAACGGGAAAAUAAGGAGUCACUAUGCAGACACGUGUCGGGACAAUUCAAGGACAGUGAACUUCAUUAUCAUUCAAACAUCAAGGAGAUUCUGGCGGUAAAAUAUGCAAUUCAAAAAUGCGAGUUCUUCGUGGCCUCAAGACAUUUUAUAAUUAGAAUGGACAAUUCUAAUUUUCCUCGCAUUCUGGAAUUCAAGGGACGACAAAUCCCUGACAAACAACUUCUCCGCCUGAAAGAGUGGUUCUCCCAAUAUGAUUUUGAAGUACAACACAUCCAAGGUGAUAAAAAUCUUAUCCCUAACUUUCUAUCCCGACUAUCCAAAUCUUUUAUGAACUCUCUUAGUCCUUCCUUCUUUAUCUUUAUGGCACAAUUCAGUCCCAGGACUUUACACCCAAAUCAACUGAAGGUAUGUCUAUUCAAGAAUUUGAGCUUUGGACUUAUAGACGUAUCUUAGCUUUUUAUCAGACUAUUGUACCAAAUCCAGAAGACUUUUCUGCCUCAUUUCCUUGGAAAUUUUUCCCCACUAUUACAGAAACGUUCCCUUCAUCUUCUGAACAAUUCUGGUAUCUCUGGUACCUCACAUGUCUGUAUCAUCUUCCUGUAGAGCUACCAUUGUUAAAAACCUUGUGGUUCUUACACAGAGAAGAAAAUGAGUCGCAUCCAGCCUGGCAUUUCUUCCUAAUAUUUGAUAACCAACAGGCAUGGCAAUACCGACUCAGAAGGUUGGUUCACCAAGCAGGUCUUCUACACAUGGCAGAUCAUGAUAAGACUUUGACUUAUCAUACCAUCCUCUUUCUCCAUCAACAACACAAUUUGAAUGACACUGUUUCAACAGUUAUUACAGAAUGGAGAACUCUUCCUGGACGUUUUGAAGAAAUGCCCUUUGCCACUAAACAUGCUUUACUUCACAAAGGGAAUGAGCUAAAUCAUACAGCCAAUGAGGUUAUUCCAGUCAUCAACAUGCAAAGGUGAUCCUCAGAUCAAACAUGGUUGUUCACCUCUACUUCUUCAACACAGUCCCCAUCAGCUAGUCAACAAUCUGAAGCCAUAUCCUUAACGACAGCGAAUCUAGCUUUUUAGGAGCCAUGGUCAUAGCCAGAAGAAUCUCUUCUAUCAGCCUCAUAACUUCUGGCCCAAAUGGCGCCAUUAAGGUCUUCUAGGCCUUGUCCAUCUGACAAGCCCAGCCCAUCAAGAAGAAGACGUCGAAGCUAUAAAGAUAUUGACUCAGAUGAUUCUGAUGAUAACUACUCAGAACGUGGGUCCACAAACAGACAAAUUAAGUGAUGUCAUGAUGCAUUUCCAAUAGCAAGACUCUAUAUUAUGAUCUCCAUUAUUAAAAUUUGUUUGGCCCUAUAUGUUUUGGCUUUGUAUGUCAUUAUUAAAGUCUCUAUUAUUAUAGUCUGUUGGACAUAUAUGUUUUGGAGUCUUGUAAGAAGGAAUAUAUUCCUUCACAUGUAUAGAGAUAAGCUCUAAGAGUCGUGUUAGAUAAGACUGCCAGAUGGCAAUCUCUUAUGGUCAGUGUGGAUUUCUAAAGAGUACCUCUUCUUCUAUAUAAGGAAGAGCUCUCCAGUUUGUAAAACAGGUCGUGAGAAAUAAAACCUCUAUCUUUUCUUCGGACUUGAACCUUCAAGGCCUGACUAAGAUGUGAAUCUUCCAAUGACAUGUUGAAAUUAGGGAAAAACGUUAGCACUAUGCUCCCUGCAUUCAAAGUUGUAGCAAUAGAGCCGAUUACGGGUGAACAGAAGAUCUACAAGUUUCUGAUGUGCAGGAUCCUCUGACGAGGCAAGCACAGAGCAUACGCUUAAUAGAAAGAUGAUAGACCGAAAAGAGAGUAAUAAGACUUUGAAAAUAGAGGGGUGAACAGAAGAUCUACAAGUUUCUGAUGUGCAGGAUCCUCUGACGAGGCAAGCACAGAGCAUACGCUUAAUAGAAAGAUGAUAGACCGAGAAGAGAGUAAUAAGACUUUGAUAACUGUAAAUCUGUAGAGACACUCUAUGUGUAAGGGCACUCCUUCUUUACCAGUAACUCGUUCUCUAAGCCAGGCCGGGAGCUGUUCACUGUACUCACCAGAAAGUACUAUUGAUCAUCAUCAAUCUCUAAGCCAAGCUCACACAUACGCAACCCUACAGCCAACAAAGCCACUCCUGGGCUACAAAUGCCGUUCUGGGUCUUUAAUAUGUAUAAACUUGCUUAGCAGACAAUAAUCGAAACUCAGAAUAGAAUUUCAUAGCUUUACCAUUUCUAAUGGAUACAGGAGACAGAUCAGAAUGAAGAAGGGAGGAGAAUACUGUUAAAGAAGGAGUAUAAAGAAUUUAGAAUGCCAUGAAAGAUAUGAAGAAAAGAUAGAGGUUUUAUUUCUCACGACCUGUUUUACAAACUGGAGAGCUAUUCCUUAUAUAGAAGAAGAGGUACUCUUUAGAAAUCCACACUGACCAUAAGAGAUUGCCAUCUGGCAGUCUUAUCUAACACGACUCUUAGAGCUUAUCUCUAUACAUGUGAAGGAAUAUAUUCCUUCUUACAAGACUCCAAAACAUAUAUGUCCAACAGACUAUAAUAAUAGAGACUUUAAUAAUGACAUACAAAGCCAAAACAUAAAAGGCCAAACAACUCAUAAUGAUGGAGACCAUAAUAUAGAAUCUUGCUGUUGAAAGUGCAUCGUGACAUCACUUAUUUUGUCUGUUUGUGGAUCCACAUUCUGAGUAGUUAUCAUCCGAGUCACUAUCCUUAUNNNNNNNNNNNNNNNNNNNNNNNNNNNNNNNNNNNNNNNNNNNNNNNNNNNNNNNNNNNNNNNNNNNNNNNNNNNNNNNNNNNNNNNNNNNNNNNNNNNNNNNNNNNNNNNNNNNNNNNNNNNNNNNNNNNNNNNNNNNNNNNNNNNNNNNNNNNNNNNNNNNNNNNNNNNNNNNNNNNNNNNNNNNNNNNNNNNNNNNNNNNNNNNNNNNNNNNNNNNNNNNNNNNNNNNNNNNNNNNNNNNNNNNNNNNNNNNNNNNNNNNNNNNNNNNNNNNNNNNNNNNNNNNNNNNNNNNNNNNNNNNNNNNNNNNNNNNNNNNNNNNNNNNNNNNNNNNNNNNNNNNNNNNNNNNNNNNNNNNNNNNNNNNNNNNNNNNNNNNNNNNNNNNNNNNNNNNNNNNNNNNNNNNNNNNNNNNNNNNNNNNNNNNNNNNNNNNNNNNNNNNNNNNNNNNNNNNNNNNNNNNNNNNNNNNNNNNNNNNNNNNNNNNNNNNNNNNNNNNNNNNNNNNNNNNNNNNNNNNNNNNNNNNNNNNNNNNNNNNNNNNNNNNNNNNNNNNNNNNNNNNNNNNNNNNNNNNNNNNNNNNNNNNNNNNNNNNNNNNNNNNNNNNNNNNNNNNNNNNNNNNNNNNNNNNNNNNNNNNNNNNNNNNNNNNNNNNNNNNNNNNNNNNNNNNNNNNNNNNNNNAGUUUCCAAGGAAAUGAAGCGAAAAAGUCUUCUGGAUUUGGUACAAUAGUCUGAUAAAAAGCUAAGAUACGUCUAUAGGCCCAAAGCUCAAAUUCUUGAAUAGACAUACCUUCAGGUUGAUUUGGGUGUGAAGUCCUGGGACUGAAUUGUGCUAUAAAGAUAAAGAAGGAAGGACUAAUAGGGUUCAUAAAAGAUUUGGAUAAUCGGGAUAGAAAGUCAGGGAUGAGAUUUUUAUCACAUUGAAUGUGUUGUACUUCAAAAUCAUAUUGGGAGAACCAUUCUUUCAGGCGGAGCAGUUGUUUGUCAGGGAUCUGUCGCCCCUUGAAUUCCAAAAUGCGAGGAAAAUUAGAAUUGUCCAUUCUAAUUAUAAAAUGUUUUGAAGCCACGAAGAACUCGCAUUUUUGGAUUGCAUAUUUUACCGCCAGAAUCUCUUUGAUGUUUGAAUGAUAAUGAAGUUCAUUGUCCUUGAAUUGUCCUGACACGUGUCUGCAUAGUGACUCUUUAUUUUCCAGUCUCUAGAGAAGAAUAGCGCCCCAAGCAUAGUCACUUGCAUCAGUCUGAAGGAUCAGCUAUGCGUCAUCAGCAGGAAUAGAGAGGGUUGGAGUCUUUUGGGCCAGCUGUUUCAAUGUUUUAACAGCUUCAAUAUGGGCUUAAGUCCAUGGGCCCGCAUCUUUCUUUAGUUGUGCAGUCAGGGCUUUUGUAUGGGCUGCGGCUUUUGGGAUGAAAUUUCGAAUGUAAUUAAUGAUCCCCAGAAACUGUUGAAUCUGUUUCUUGGAUAAAUUUUCAUUGGGGAAGUGUCACAAUUCUUGGGCUAAGUGUGAGCCUGCUUCAUACUGCCCAUUCUUUAGUUUAAGCCCGAGAAAAUCAACUUCAGUUUGUCCAAUGUAAGAUUUCUUUUCAGAAAGCAUUAUCCCAAAGGAGUGGACUAAAUUGUGGAAUCUUCUGAGAAGAUUAUCAUGCUCUUUUCCUGACUUAGAGAAAAGUAGGAUAUCAUCUAUGUAGAUGAUACAGGUGUCUAGGAUUGACUUAAAAAUUCUGACCAUUGCUUUCUGAAAGAUGGAAGGAGCUAUUUUAAGCCCAAAGGGCAUAACAGUCCACUGAUACUGAGCAUCUGGGAUGCAAAAGGCGGUCUUGUAUCUUUCUUCAGGAUGAAUGCCUAACUGCCAAAAUCCUGACUUUAGAUCAAACUUAGAGAAAUAGGUUGCUCCUUGAAGACGGAUCAAAAGAGAAGAGAUUUUAGGAAUUGGGAAUUUGUCAUCCGAAAGGAAAUGAUUCAGAUGCUUGUAAUUAAUGACGAGCCUUUUCUUUCCUCUUAAUUUUUCUGAUCUCUUUUCCACAUAGAACGCCUGACAUGCCCAAGGAGAUUGUGUAGGUUCAAUUAAACCUUACUGGAGGAGCUCUUGGCACUCUUGUCUUGCUAAAGCCAAAUCUGUUGGGGACAUUCCAGGAUGGCUGGCUUUAGUAGGAUUGACAUCUUCAUUUAAUUUGAAAGGGAGAGUGAUAAAGAAGUCUGAAUUCUUGUAUAGUGGAGAAGGGUGAUAGAAGUUUCUAUGAGAAUCAGCACAGCAUGGUACGAACAACUCUUUCAAGUGAGCAAAGUUCAGUGGGACUUCUGAAACAGAGAACUGGUUGGGAUCCUGAGUAUAAUGGAGAAAUUCUCGUUUAUACUUUAGGCCUGUUGGCAGGAUUUGUAACCUUUUUGCUGCAUGAUAAGUGUCGAACCCAACUAGAAGAUCUCUUCCAAAUAGAUAAGAACCAAUGAUGUGAAUCCAUACAAUACAGCCAGGGAAAAACUGUAUUCCAAUCUUAUCCUUGGAGAUUAUUGUAAUUUGAAAAUUCUUGCCAUCAGGAGCUAGGAAGUGAUAAGUCUUUUUCUUCCAGGCUGAGCUAGGCAAAACAUCAGGAUUCAUCAUUGUACAGUGAGAUCCAGUAUCCAUUAAAGCAGUGACAGGAAUAGGUUUUCCAUAUUUGCCAGCUAAAACAUGGAUGGAUACCAAUGGUGUAGGAUGAAUAGGUUAUGCUGAUGUAACUUUUGGUGAGGAUGAACCUUCCAUACUUUCUGGAGAAAUAAGAAUGGGUAAUGGUAUAAAAGAAAAGUUGCUUUGGGCUGGUGUGAGUAUUUUUCUUGGAGAAGCUAUCUCAGGGAAACAGUAAGCUAUAUUUGCAAGAGUAUAAUCAGGUGAGGGUGAGGGUGAUGACCAUUGAAAAACUUCAGAAAUUGAUGAGAGAUCAGGUAGUUCUUGUGUUACCUGAAGCGCAGGACCAAUAGUAAAAACAGAUGUUUCUUCGUCCGAAGAACUUUCACCGUUUGUGCUGGUAUCUGAAUAUGGAAUAGCAAAUAGAGUCUGAGAAGACGCCAUUUCUUCUUCUGAAAAGAGAGAUUCAAGAUCAUGAUCGGAUAAGUCAUCUGGAUUUGAAGUCUUUAGUUGAUGAAGAAGUGCAACAGUCUUCUUAGGCUUAUUGGGACAUCUCUUUGCAUAGUGUCCUGAUUGACCACAGAUGUAACAUCGAUCGGAUUUAUGCUUGCUUGUUACCUUCUUUAUGAACCAGCGUAAUUUCCUUCCUUUAUUCUGUUUAUACUGGGGAGAUUUCUCUGAAUAAGAAAAAUGCUUCUUCUUCUUUGUCUUGCACGUACAAUGCUUAUCCUUGCAUUUGAUUUGCAAAUAAUCUCGAUUGCAGAGAUUUUUCAACAGUGCUUCUCCUUUUGCAAUCUUCUUGAAUAGCUUUUGCUGCUCACACAUUUUAUCCAGAGUAGCCAUUGUAAAUUGCCAAAUCUCUCCAAGAGAGAUUUGAGUGAUGUCUCGAUGUGUGUCUGUCAUCAUUUUCUGAAUCUCAGGGUGCAUUUCUUCCGGUAGAGAACUGACGAAGGUGUACUUUAGAUCAUCACUGUUUGGACCAGCAAGUUCAUAGUAAAGUUUAGACAUAUGAACAUAGUGGUCUUCAAGAUCUUUUCUUUUCAUGGAACAGCACUUUCUGUCAAAGUAUUCUUGUUUUCUUUAUCUGAAAAUCAAAUUGUAGUCUCCUAGAAACUGCUGAUGGAUAUGUGCUAGAGCUUGAGUGACAGAACCAAGCUGAACAAAUUGAAGCUGUUGAUAUUCAGACAGGUGAGAAAACCAUUCCCGUAAUGUGCCAGUGAACCUUGAUGUGAAUUCAGUUAAGACAGCUUGGAGAUUAGUUUGGGGGUUUAUCAUUUGGAGAUCAAGCCAAGCAUUGAAUUCCAAGAUUUUGUUACGCCAUUGUGAUGGAGGCACAAUAUCCAAAGAGAACCAGGGACCAAAACCUGGUUUUGGCGGGAAAGGAUGUUCUGGAGCAAGAGAUUCUAAUUCUUCAGUUUCUUCUGUAAUUUCGGGCUCUUGCGGUGUGUUCAUCAACACAUGAGGACCUUGUGUUCUAGAUUCAGCUGUUGAUACAGAAAUAUCAGUCCCUCGAUCAGAAGAGGAAGAGCUGAAGUGUUGUAGUUCAAAUUGAGACAGGUCUAAAUCUGAAAUAUACGACUCAGUUGAAGAAGGAGUCGACUCCGUAAAGACAGGAGGGUUUUGCUGUAUAGCCAUCUGUGGCUUAGCAAGUCCUUUAUCCAUGGAAAGCUUGGAUGGAAAGGAUGAGGGAGUAGAGGAUGUCCUUUUUGCGGGUUUGGAUGCCGGUUUAGGUGCUCGAGGCACCAAGUCUAAGACUGUAGCAUAUUGUUUAACAGGCAUAACUGUAGACAUGAAAGGAUGAGGUGUAGCAAUGGGAAAAUUUAGUGGAGAAGAGGUAGAUUGCUUAGAAGGGUAAAGAUCUCUUUCUAUUUCCCGGAGUUGCUCUUUCAGCCUUAAGAUUUCUUUGUCCUUUUGCCAGAACAAAGGUGAUGUAGGCUGAGUUGCCAUAAUCUGUUCCAUCUCUUGUUCAAGCUUAAAUAGCCUAGAUGAAAGCUUCGUGUGCAUCCGUAAAGCUUCUUCUCUGAAUGAAGUGACAUGAGCUUCUAUGAAACUGGUUUUUUCAUAGACUUCCGAGAGUCUAUUGUCAAUCUUUUCCAGGUAGUAAUUCUGGGCAACAACAUUGUUUGUCUGCCAGUUCAAAACUUCUUCUGCAGCUGAGAGAGGGGCCAAACUGCCUGCAGGUUGGACUGUAUCCUUCACAAUGAAAGGACGGGCAGGAGCUUUGAUCUGUUCAUUUUCUUUCCUCACCAGAGGAGGAAAUUCCUCUGAGUUAACCAUAAAACAUGGCACUACGAUUGGCUCUGGGAUUUUUACUGGUUCAAAAGAACAAGAGCAAACUACUGGAGGAGGAGGACAAAUCCAAAGUCCUUCUUCCUUUAAUAUUUCAAAGCAUCUCUUCAUAUAAUCAUCAUUGGACAUUGGUUUGCUCUUUUCUGGUGGAAGACCAAUCCAGGGUCUUCCUUUCCUGGUUUGUACAGGAACCUGAAUGGAAUCAGGUUGAUCAUCGUCUUUGUCAUCAUAUCGAGGUGGACUAGUACAUGUAUGCUUUCUUUUCCAAGUCUUAGUCCCCUUUGAUCUGAUUUCUAGAUCAUCCAGAUCAUCUUGGCAAUUACAUCCAACAUCGCAUAUGGAGGGAUUAACAUCCCAGAUAAAGUGACCAUUAAUCUUGCCCUUAUAGACUUCCCAUCCGUUUGAUCUGAAGCUGUGAAUGGGAAUCUUCUUCUCAUAGGAUCUCUGUACUGGUUGAAUCAUAGAGAUAGUAUGAGGAUUUGAAGAUGAUGAUAUUGUGGAUGAUAGAUAUGAAACCUUGACAGACUUGUCAAGCUGUUUGAUGAAUACUGGAUCUUGUUUUUGGACAGGCUGUGAGCUUUGAUGAAGCUUCUCAUAAUUUGUGAUCCAUACUGAGGGAAUCAACCUCUCUAGCUCCUCUCUAGGCAACUGCCUAGGAGUCUGAACUAUGGUGGGAGUAAGACCACUGUCAGCAAAGAUAAACAGUGCGUCUCCGCUAGAGAGACCAGGAGUCUGCAGAUUUAUUGCAUGGUCUUGAAGCCUGUAAACCAUCUGGUGAUGAAGGGUAGCCGAAAUAGUAUCGGCGACCUGGUCAGCGCCUGUAAUUUGGACUUGAACCUUCAAGGCCUGACUAAGAUGUGAAUCUUCCAACGACAUGUUGAAAUUAGGGAAGAACGUUAGCACUAUGCUCCCUGCAUUCAAAGUUGUAGCAAUAGAGCCGAUUACAGCAUGUUCAUAAUUUAGAUACCGGGUAUCUAACAAGGAGAGUCUUGCUAUAACUGGAAGUCCUUGUCUCCCGUGAUAGGAGAGAACAAGUCUGAUGGCUCCGAAGUGGAGAUGGGUAUACUUCUGUUGUCUCCACUGCUGAAUAAAGUGUGGAGGGAUCUCUAAAGUUGCAUAUUGUUCUGUUGUAACUGAAGAAAGAACACACUGAGAAAGAGUAGAUGACUGAACAUACUCUUUCACUGCAAUAGAGGGUCUUAGAGAUCUGGAAAAAGACUGAUUACAGCGGAAGACAGAGUAGGGAUUAAGUAUAGGCACAAGGGAGUUCUGGAUCUGGGCUGUAUUAGGUAUAUGAGAUAUUUCUACCAGGUUAUCUAUCUUGUCUGUAAUAUAUUUUUUAUAAGAAGUAGGUAGAGUAAGAGAAGAAGUUUGAACAAUAGAAAUAGGGCUAGUACUGGUUUCCAUGUUUCACAACCAAGGCUCUGAUACCAAAAUAGGGGGGUGAACAGAAGAUCUACAAGUUUCUGAUGUGCAGGAUCCUCUGACGAGGCAAGCACAGAGCAUACGCUUAAUAGAAAGAUGAUAGACCGAGAAGAGAGUAAUAAGACUUUGAAAAUAGGGGGGUGAAUAGAAGAUCUACAAGUUUCUGAUGUGCAGGAUCCUCUGACGAGGCAAGCACAGAGCAUACGCUUAAUAGAAAGAUGAUAGACCGAGAAGAGAGUAAUAAGACUUUGAUAACUGUAAAUCUGUAGAGACACUCUAUGUGUAAGGGCACUCCUUCUUUACCAGUAACUCGUUCUCUAAGCCAGGCCGGGAGCUGUUCACCUCUACUUCUUCAACACAAUCACAACCAGCUAGUCAACAAUCUGAAGCUACAUCUUCAACAACAAUGAAUCUAGCUUUUCAGGAACCAUGGUCACAGCCAGAAGAAUCCCUUCUAUCAGCCUUACAGCUUUUGGCCCAAAUGGCGCCAUUAAGGUCUUCUAGGCCUUGUCCAUCUGACAAGCCCAGCCCAUCAAGAAGAAGACGUCGAAGCUAUAAGGAUAAUGACUCGGAUGAUUCUGAUGAUAACUACUCAGAAUGUGGAUCCACAAACAGACAAAAUAAGUGAUGUCAUGAUGCACUUUCAACAGCAAUAUUCUAUAUUAUGGUCUCCAUCAUUAUGAGUUGUUUGGCCUUAUAUGUUUUGGCUUUGUAUGUCAUUAUUAAAGUCUCUAUUAUUAUAGUCUGUUGGACACAUAUGUUUUGGAUUCUUGUAAGAAAGAAUAUAUUCCUUCACAUGUAUAGAGAUAAGCUCUAAGAGUCGUGUUAGAUAAGACUGCCAGAUGGCAAUCUCUUAUGGUCAGUGUGGAUUUCUAAAGAGUACCUCUUCUUCUAUAUAAGGAAGAGCUCUCCAGUUUGUAGAACAGGUCGUGAGAAAUAAAACCUCUAUCUUUUCUUCAUAUCUUUCAUGGCAUUCUAAAUUCUUUAUACUCCUUCUUUAAUAGUAUUCUCCUCCCUUCUUCAUUCCGGUCUGUCUCCUGUAUCCAUUAGAAAUGGUAAAGCUAUGAAAUUCUAAUUGCAUGUUGCUUUACCUUAAAUUUUUAAUCUUUAUUUUGAUAUGUGUUUAAUAAUUUCAUUAGACAACGAUAUUUAUUAAAUGUGAUGAUUGCGAUUUGGAAAAUGUGGCUUUUGUAGAACAUGUCACCUGAUGGGUUACAUCAGGACCGCGUGCGCACCGGUAAUAAUUAUGGACAGGUAAUAAGAUUAUUAUGAGUUUUUGCCUUGGUCGAGCAUGGCUCUCUGGGUCGAGUUGAGUUAAUUGCAAAAGGUAAGGUCCCUAGUCGAGCAAUGCUCUCUGGGCGCCGACUUGGUUGGAAUCAAGUGUUCAGGCUGUAGGUAAGGACCCUGGUCAAGCUUUGUUCUCUGGGCGCCAGACCUGUUGGAUUAAGAAAGCCGAAAGGCUACUAUAAUUUGGAGUUAGGGUUCUACUGAGCCAUUCGUCCUGUAAAAGUAAAAAUAUAUUUUAUUUUUAAAAUUAUGUCAUAGUUAUAUUAUAAUUCGUAUUUUAUGUUCAUGGUUCGUUAUACUGACUGAAGUAAUUAAUAUUUUCUGUGAAGACUGUAAUAGUCACAAGAUUAUUUGAUUUUAACUCACUCCCGAGACUGACAGUCUCAGUUGUAUUUUUUUCAGGUGACAGUUAAAGACCUUCGCCGUCGUGCACUUUUGACAGUCCGACUUCUUCUUCUUCGGACUUUUGUAAUUACCUUGUACUACUACACUUUGUUAUUAGUUACUCUAGAUUAUCCGUAGUAGAAAAUUUUAAAAUUGUUAUAAUUAUUCUGGUCUAUGUUGGACGUAUGAUGAUAUAAAGACCUGGUAGAAUUAAUUAUGAAAGUCAAUCAUGG
RNAcentral lists this long non-coding RNA (17253 nucleotides) under Ricinus communis (castor bean). RNAcentral's name for it is "long non-coding RNA (RCOM_LNC001664)". The record is from RNAcentral. Lineage: Eukaryota; Viridiplantae; Streptophyta; Magnoliopsida; Malpighiales; Euphorbiaceae.